Saccostrea cuccullata (small rock oyster) is the source of this 1077-nucleotide long non-coding RNA. RefSeq lists it as uncharacterized. NCBI's taxonomy places the organism in Eukaryota, Metazoa, Mollusca, Bivalvia, Ostreida, Ostreidae. The record is from RefSeq and is a predicted model, not a curated record. The transcript has 2 exons.
CCCCGUGAUCACGGCAACCCAGGUGUCACAGCCAGCCACCCAGACUGCUAAUUCAUCGGUGGCAACCCUUAAUCCUCCCGAACUCCCACAACCUCCUGAAGUCCCACAUUCAGCUAGCAAGAACUCCGAAUCCUCAGUGGCAACCCCUAAUCCACUUUCUAUAGGGGAUAUUACAACGGAGCAAUCCUUGACAUCAGUGGGAAAGAUUCAGAACCUUGGCUCCUCAGGCAGACAAAAUUCGAGUCAGUAUACCUCCGGCAUUGACAAUUCUCUUAAACAACAUGUAGAAAGUUUGCUCGAAGCAGCAGUAUCUAAAAAUACUGCUUCAACAUAUCAAAAGGGCAUUAACUCUUUUGAAACCUUCCGCUCUAAAUACAAGUUUGCCUUGACUUGGCCUCCACCAGUCCAUCAGAUUAUUAAUUACAUUGCAUACCUCCAUACAAACCAUGUAUCACAUGCCACAGCAAGAUGUUACUUAAGUGAUAUCAGUUACAAAAUCCAGUUAUAGGGGGGGUUGGGGGGGGGGGGGGUUGGACAACACUAAAGCCUUUAUAGUUAAGAAAAUGUUGGAAGGCUUCCGAUGGCUAAAUCCAGCAAAAGACCUAGAUCCCCAAUUUCCCUACGAAUGUUGCAUCAAAUGGUAACAAUUCUACAAAGAGUUUGUUUAAACACCUAUGAAGCCGCAAUGUUUUCAACUUUUUUUAUUUAGCAUUUUUUGCACUGCUGCGUAUUAGUGAAUUUGCUUUCACCAGUAACUUUACACCAGUACUAUCUUUCCAAGACUUCACCAUUGAUCAAGAAAAAAUUUCUUUGUUUAUCAAAGGUUCAAAAACUGAUCAAUAUCGUAGGGUUACCACAUUACAAAUUACAUACAGUCCUCAAAGUGCAUCUUUAUUUGAGCAUGCACACAAUUUUUUGUCAAUCCGACCCCAAAUACAAGGCCCAUUUUUCUGCCAUAUCAACGCUAAACCUCUCACCAAAUAUCAGUUCACAUCACUCCUACACAAAGCCGUGAAAUUCAUCGGUUUAGACACAUCUAUAUUCAAAUCACACUCAUUCAGAGUAGGUGGGGCUACU